GUCCUUAGUCCCUUCCCUCCACCGAGGUUGCUUCUGCUUUUCUCCAGAGGAGUGGAAGCUACCACUUUUCCUUGGGGGUUCCUUCGGGCCCUGUCGCUUGCCCUCCUUCUUGCUCCCCGACUCCUCCACCCUUGGCCUGCCCUCCUUCCACCUUCCUGCUGGCUCCCUGUCCUCCUGACCUCCCCAGUUCUUCUUCCUUUCCCGGCCAGAUUCUUCCUUCUUAUGUUUCCAGUGCUCAGCCUUCCGGUCUCUCUGCCCAUCCCACCACUUUUCCUUUCCACUCCACUCCCU
This 291-nucleotide long non-coding RNA is filed under the name Homo sapiens (human). The record is from RNAcentral. Lineage: Eukaryota; Metazoa; Chordata; Mammalia; Primates; Hominidae.